AUGGUUUAGGGCUAGAUCCGUUAUGUCUGAUAGCAUUCAGUGAGAAUUCCUUAUUUCGCCAGCAAAAUUCCAGAGGUUCUCUCCAACCAAAAAGGUAUGCAGCUGAGUGUGAAGACUUAGCAACUUGUGUUGGUCUCUGACUGCUAAAGAGAGAAAUGGAUAUAGUAAUUGCCUGAUAAUAAGCUAUUCUGAACUUGGAAACAUAAAUUCUAAAUAUUUAUGCUGUUUUUUCCUUUGAGUGGCUAAAUACUUUUGUAUUUUUCUGUUUGUUCACCAUUAGGUGGACUUUUUUUGGACAUGAAUACACUUCUUAAUUAAUCAGUGCGAUUAAAUAUAAUGGCAUGCAUGUGGUCUAUUCUGCUACUUGUAGAUCAUGUUCUGAUCCCACUCCUAGUGAGAAAUUCCUAUCAGUGAAAAGGAAGCAAGAUCCUACUGCUGAGCACUGCAGCAACGUAUGGAGGUGGCAACAGUAACAGUGAAAGUCUCAUCAAGUCUUGUUUAAAAUACAGAUGUCCUCGGAUAUCCUGACUUCUGAAUGGGGGGUAAAAACAGUAA
Molecule: long non-coding RNA, 555 nt
Organism: Pezoporus occidentalis (night parrot)
Lineage: Eukaryota; Metazoa; Chordata; Aves; Psittaciformes; Psittacidae
Exons: 2
Source: RefSeq, a predicted model, not a curated record